This 464-nucleotide ribosomal RNA is filed under the name Streptococcus intermedius. Its description in RNAcentral is "bacterial SSU rRNA". It matches the Rfam family "Bacterial small subunit ribosomal RNA", at positions 28 to 469 of the family's 1533-position model. The record is from RNAcentral. Lineage: Bacteria; Bacillati; Bacillota; Bacilli; Lactobacillales; Streptococcaceae.
GACGAACGCUGGCGGCGUGCCUAAUACAUGCAAGUAGAACGCACAGGAUGCACCGUAGUUUACUACACCGUAUUCUGUGAGUUGCGAACGGGUGAGUAACGCGUAGGUAACCUGCCUGGUAGCGGGGGAUAACUAUUGGAAACGAUAGCUAAUACCGCAUAAGAACAUUUACUGCAUGGUAGAUGUUUAAAAGGUGCAAAUGCAUCACUACCAGAUGGACCUGCGUUGUAUUAGCUAGUAGGUGAGGUAACGGCUCACCUAGGCGACGAUACAUAGCCGACCUGAGAGGGUGAUCGGCCACACUGGGACUGAGACACGGCCCAGACUCCUACGGGAGGCAGCAGUGGGAAUCUUCGGCAAUGGGGGGAACCCUGACCGAGCAACGCCGCGUGAGUGAAGAAGGUUUUCGGAUCGUAAAGCUCUGUUGUUAAGGAAGAACGAGUGUGAGAAUGGAAAGUUCAUAC